RNAcentral lists this ribosomal RNA (255 nucleotides) under uncultured bacterium. Its description in RNAcentral is "partial 16S ribosomal RNA". It matches the Rfam family "Bacterial small subunit ribosomal RNA", at positions 524 to 776 of the family's 1533-position model. The record is from RNAcentral.
GACGUAGGGCGCGAGCGUGUCCGGAUUUAUUGGGCGUAAAGAGCUCGUAGGCGGCUCGUUGCGUCGGCUGUGAAAACCCGCAGCUCAACUGUGGGCUUGCAGCCGAUACGGGCGGGCUAGGAUUCGGUAGGGGAGACGUGGAAUUCCUGGUGUAGCGGUGAAAAUGCGCAGAUAUCAGGAGGAACACCGGUGGCGAAGGCGGGUCUCUGGGCCGAUAUCGACGCUGAGACGCGAAAGCGUGGGGGAGCAAACAGG